AUUGAACGCUGGCGGCAUGCCUUACACAUGCAAGUCGAACGGCAGCACGGGUGCUUGCACCUGGUGGCGAGUGGCGAACGGGUGAGUAAUACAUCGGAACAUGUCCUGUAGUGGGGGAUAGCCCGGCGAAAGCCGGAUUAAUACCGCAUACGAUCUACGGAUGAAAGCGGGGGACCUUCGGGCCUCGCGCUAUAGGGUUGGCCGAUGGCUGAUUAGCUAGUUGGUGGGGUAAAGGCCUACCAAGGCGACGAUCAGUAGCUGGUCUGAGAGGACGACCAGCCACACUGGGACUGAGACACGACCCAGACUCCUACGGGAGGCAGCAGUGGGGAAUUUUGGACAAUGGGCGAAAGCCUGAUCCAGCAAUGCCGCGUGUGUGAAGAAGGCCUUCGGGUUGUAAAGCACUUUUGUCCGGAAAGAAAUCCUUGGCUCUAAUACAGUCGGGGGAUGACGGUACCGGAAGAAUAAGCACCGGCUAACUACGUG
This 486-nucleotide ribosomal RNA is filed under the name uncultured bacterium. RNAcentral describes it as "partial 16S ribosomal RNA". It matches the Rfam family "Bacterial small subunit ribosomal RNA", at positions 30 to 507 of the family's 1533-position model. The record is from RNAcentral.